CCUACGUGAGGCUGCAGUGGGGAAUAUUGGACAAUGGGGGAAACCCUGAUCCAGCGACGCCGCGUGAGUGAAGAAGUAUUUCGGUACGUAAAGCUCUAUCAGAAGGAAAGAAAAUGACGGUACCUGACUAAGAAGCCCCGGCUAACUACGUGCCAGCAGCAGCGGUAAUACGUAGGGGGCACGCGUUAUCCGGAUUUACUGGGUGUAAAGGGAGCGUAGACGGCAGCGCAAGUCUGGAGUGAAAUGCCGGUGGCCAACCCCGGAACUGCUCUUGAAACUGUGAAGCUGGAGUGCAGGAGGGGUAAGCGGAAUUCCUGGUGUAGCGGUGAAAUGCGUAGAUAUCAGGAGGAACACCGGCGGCGAAGGCGGCUUACUGGACUGUAACUGACGUUGAGGCUCGAAGGCGUGGGGAGCAAACAGGAUUAGAUACCCGAGUAGUC
RNAcentral lists this ribosomal RNA (440 nucleotides) under uncultured bacterium. RNAcentral describes it as "partial 16S ribosomal RNA". It matches the Rfam family "Bacterial small subunit ribosomal RNA", at positions 338 to 795 of the family's 1533-position model. The record is from RNAcentral.